RNAcentral lists this ribosomal RNA (465 nucleotides) under uncultured bacterium. RNAcentral describes it as "partial 16S ribosomal RNA". It matches the Rfam family "Bacterial small subunit ribosomal RNA", at positions 28 to 507 of the family's 1533-position model. The record is from RNAcentral.
GAUGAGCGCUGGCGGCGUGCUUAACACAUGCAAGUCGAACGGAAAGGCCCAAGCUUGCUUGGGUACUCGAGUGGCGAACGGGUGAGUAACACGUGGGUGAUCUGCCCUGCACUUCGGGAUAAGCCUGGGAAACUGGGUCUAAUACCGGAUAGGACCACAUUUUGGAUGGUGUGGUGGAAAGUUUUUCGGUGUGGGAUGAGCUCGCGGCCUAUCAGCUUGUUGGUGGGGUAAUGGCCUACCAAGGCGUCGACGGGUAGCCGGCCUGAGAGGGUGUACGGCCACAUUGGGACUGAGAUACGGCCCAGACUCCUACGGGAGGCAGCAGUGGGGAAUAUUGCACAAUGGGCGCAAGCCUGAUGCAGCGACGCCGCGUGGGGGAUGACGGCCUUCGGGUUGUAAACUCCUUUCGCUAGGGACGAAGCGCAAGUGACGGUACCUGGAGAAGAAGCACCGGCUAACUACGUG